Molecule: ribosomal RNA, 390 nt
Filed under: uncultured cyanobacterium
Lineage: Bacteria; Bacillati; Cyanobacteriota
Description: bacterial SSU rRNA
Rfam family: Bacterial small subunit ribosomal RNA
Source: RNAcentral
UUGGAAACGAUUGCUAAUACCCGAUGUGCAGCAAUGUGAAAGAUUUAUUGCCUAGAGAUGAGCUCGCGUCUGAUUAGCUAGUAGGUGUGGUAAUGGCGCACCUAGGCGACGAUCAGUAACUGGUCUGAGAGGAUGACCAGUCACACUGGGACUGAGACACGGCCCAGACUCCUACGGGAGGCAGCAGUGGGGAAUUUUCCGCAAUGGGCGAAAGCCUGACGGAGCAAUACCGCGUGAGGGACGAAGGCUUUUGGGUCGUAAACCUCUUUUCCCUGAGAAGAAGAUCUGACGGUCUCAGGGGAAUCAGCAUCGGCUAACUUCGUGCCAGCAGCCGCGGUAAUACGGGGGAUGCAAGCGUUAUCCGGAAUUAUUGGGCGUACAGCGUCCGCA